This 943-nucleotide ribosomal RNA is filed under the name Escherichia coli. RNAcentral's name for it is "partial 23S ribosomal RNA". It matches the Rfam family "Bacterial large subunit ribosomal RNA", at positions 211 to 1194 of the family's 2925-position model. Lineage: Bacteria; Pseudomonadati; Pseudomonadota; Gammaproteobacteria; Enterobacterales; Enterobacteriaceae. The record is from RNAcentral.
CCGAGGAAAAGAAAUCAACCGAGAUUCCCCCAGUAGCGGCGAGCGAACGGGGAGCAGCCCAGAGCCUGAAUCAGUGUGUGUGUUAGUGGAAGCGUCUGGAAAGGCGCGCGAUACAGGGUGACAGCCCCGUACACAAAAAUGCACAUACUGUGAGCUCGAUGAGUAGGGCGGGACACGUGGUAUCCUGUCUGAAUAUGGGGGGACCAUCCUCCAAGGCUAAAUACUCCUGACUGACCGAUAGUGAACCAGUACCGUGAGGGAAAGGCGAAAAGAACCCCGGCGAGGGGAGUGAAAAAGAACCUGAAACCGUGUACGUACAAGCAGUGGGAGCACGCUUAGGCGUGUGACUGCGUACCUUUUGUAUAAUGGGUCAGCGACUUAUAUUCUGUAGCAAGGUUAACCGAAUAGGGGAGCCGAAGGGAAACCGAGUCUUAACUGGGCGUUAAGUUGCAGGGUAUAGACCCGAAACCCGGUGAUCUAGCCAUGGGCAGGUUGAAGGUUGGGUAACACUAACUGGAGGACCGAACCGACUAAUGUUGAAAAAUUAGCGGAUGACUUGUGGCUGGGGGUGAAAGGCCAAUCAAACCGGGAGAUAGCUGGUUCUCCCCGAAAGCUAUUUAGGUAGCGCCUCGUGAAUUCAUCUCCGGGGGUAGAGCACUGUUUCGGCAAGGGGGUCAUCCCGACUUACCAACCCGAUGCAAACUGCGAAUACCGGAGAAUGUUAUCACGGGAGACACACGGCGGGUGCUAACGUCCGUCGUGAAGAGGGAAACAACCCAGACCGCCAGCUAAGGUCCCAAAGUCAUGGUUAAGUGGGAAACGAUGUGGGAAGGCCCAGACAGCCAGGAUGUUGGCUUAGAAGCAGCCAUCAUUUAAAGAAAGCGUAAUAGCUCACUGGUCGAGUCGGCCUGCGCGGAAGAUGUAACGGGGCUAAACCAUGCAC